UACAGAGGAGCCAAGCGUUGUCCGGAUUGACUGGGCGUAAAGCGCACGCAGGCGGUCUGGCGCGUGGGGUGUGAAAUCUGGCCGUUUAACGGCCAGGCGCCAUCCCAUACGGCCGGACUGGAGCCUUGCAGAGGUCGGUGGAAUUGCCGGUGUAGUGGUGAAAUGCGUAGAGAUCGGCAGGAACACCCAGGGGGAAACCAGCCGACUGGGCAAGUGCUGACGCUGAGGUGCGAGAGCGUGGGGAGCGAACCGG
RNAcentral lists this ribosomal RNA (253 nucleotides) under uncultured bacterium. RNAcentral describes it as "partial 16S ribosomal RNA". It matches the Rfam family "Bacterial small subunit ribosomal RNA", at positions 524 to 776 of the family's 1533-position model. The record is from RNAcentral.